CACGCCGGCACCACGCCAGUUCACUAGUACUCCUACAGGCCAAGCUUGCUGCUUUCUUCUCCGACCAAUUCCCUCCAACACCUCGCGCGCGCGGUCGAUUCCGGCCGAAUGGCGGCAACGAACUGAGCGAGGAGAGUCGACGGGUCCGCGGCUCCCUCCAAUGGCCUCUCUCCCCACCUUAUCCGCUUCCCUCCCGCGGCCCCACGUCCGCCUCAUGUUCAGGACCCCCGCUCCCUCCUGGGGCUGCUUCACCGACCACAAUGGCCGCUGCGGCGGGUCGCUCGACACGAGGCUCCGGCUGCGGUGGAGGAGCCCGGUCCGCGCCAAGGUCGGCGAGGCGGACAAGGACAAGGGCGCCGCCGAUUCGGGGCUCCGCGUGGACCAGCAGCGCAAGACCCUGCGGCGCCGCCUGCGGCUGCGGCUCCGGCCCCGGCUCCGCGUGCUGCGGUGGCGGCUCCGGCGGCUGCUGUCGCCGCGGGAGCUCGCGGGCGACGCGGCGGCGGCGCUGCGGCGGGCCGCCCGCCGCGUGCCGCUCCCCGCCGCCGCGUCCGUCGUCCUGGGCGCCCUCCUCCUCGCCGCGCGGCUCACGGUGCCCAAGAACGCGGCCCGGGAGGUGGCCUACUCGGACCUCCUCGCGGGGCUCCGCGCGGGCGCCGUCACCGCCGCCGCGUUCGAGGAGGACUCGCGCCGCAUCUACUUCAGCAAGGCCGAGGAGGACGUCGGCAGCGGCGGCGACGACGAGCGCGAGGCCGGCGGAGGCGGCGCCGCCGGUGCGACGAAGUGGGCGUACUACGCGAGGAGGGUGCCGCACGACGAGGGUUUCCUGCUGGGCCUCAUGCGGGACGGCGGGGUGGACUACCGGUCCGCUCCCAGGCCCGCGGGGAGGCUGCUGGUGGACAUGCUCACCACGCUGCUCACGCUCUGGUUCUCGCUGCUGCCCAUGAUGUGGUUCAUACAGAGGCAGAUGUCCGCUGCGGGCAGCGCGGACAAGCGCCGCAAGCCCCGGAAGCAGCGAGUAGGGUUUGAAGAUGUCCAGGGCGUGGAUGAAGCCAAGGAGGAGCUUGUUGAGAUAGUGAGCUGCUUGCGUGGUUCACUGAACUACAAGAAGCUGGGAGCAAGAUUACCUAGGGGCGUUCUGCUUGCUGGUCCUCCAGGAACUGGGAAAACUCUGCUGGCUAAGGCAGUUGCAGGAGAGGCUGGAAUUCCAUUCUUCUCUGUUUCUGCUAGUGAAUUUGUUGAAAUGUUUGUUGGAAGAGGAGCAGCACGUGUCAGAGAUUUGUUCAAGGAAGCCAAAGAAGCUGCUCCGUCAAUCAUUUUUAUUGAUGAACUUGAUGCUGUUGGUGGAAGCAGGGGUAGAAGUUUUAAUGAUGAGAGGGACCAAACUCUAAAUCAGCUGCUUACUGAAAUGGAUGGUUUUGACUCAGACGUGAAAGUUAUUGUCAUGGCUGCUACUAAUAGACCUAAAGCUCUUGAUUCUGCUCUUUGUCGGCCUGGUCGUUUCUCAAGAAAGGUUUUUGUCGGUGUGCCUGAUUUGGAGGGCCGCAGAAAGAUUUUGGCUGUUCAUUUCAGAGAAGUUCCUUUAGAAGAGGAUUCUGAAACAAUUUGCGAUCUGAUUGCUAACUUGACCCCAGGAUUGGUUGGUGCAGAUCUAGCAAACAUUGUCAAUGAGGCUGCUCUACUAGCUGCUCGAAGAGGUGGCAAUACAGUGGCUAGGGAAGAUGUUAUGGAUGCCAUUGAGAGGGAGAAAUAUGGGGUCAAUGGUAGACAAAAGAGUCCUGAUUCUGAAAGACAAGGCCUUACCAAAUUAUUUCCAUGGUUACCUAAACCUGGAAAUAAACCACCAAACCCAGAUGAUUUCCAGGGACUUAUGGGUUAUCAUACAUUAAGCUAACUGGCGUUUUUGCAAGGUAUCCUCAGAUUUUGCCUAUUCUACCGAUUUUGUUCAUCACAUUGUUCCUAACAAAUUCCAAUAAGUAGCUUCAGAAGCUGGCCACCUUUUGACUGAAACGGUAUAUGUGCUAAAGGGGAGAUAAGCAUCAACUGACAUGGUAUAAAAUUGUCCGUGUACGAGGUGCAGGGUACAAUUGUAAGGCAGCAAAUAUACAAUUCAACUCUUACCUGUGAAGGAGACUGCACUGUGCGCUAAGUGGGACGGGGAACUGUGACGCAUUACUCGAUGAAUUUUGAUGCAGUUCGAUCAGCAGAAAGCUGCUACCCGAUUACAAUAGCUUAGCAUGUGAAUGUGCAACACAAGGUCCACGAAUUUUCUAGUGAUUCGGAUUAAUCUUGCGGUCCGUAAUUUUGAUACAAGCACUUAAACAUGGUUUUUUGGGUAGCUCAUAUUGUUAAUAGAAUAGUCUGUGCUAGUUUACAAGAUAGGGUCAACCCUGAUUCUGAUGUACAUGAAUUUGCCACUUGGCUAAUUUUUUAGCAUACAUGAGCUCUGCGGCAGUUGGAUCCACAGCAAUGUGUAAGAUUGGAAGUAGACAGAAUUACUUGGGAGCUCAGCUAUUUUUCACGCCA
Molecule: non-coding RNA, 2523 nt
Organism: Lolium perenne
Lineage: Eukaryota; Viridiplantae; Streptophyta; Magnoliopsida; Poales; Poaceae
Source: RefSeq, a predicted model, not a curated record